GAUGAAGGCUGGCUGCGUGCCUAAUACACGCAACCCAAGCCAGCAUACGAUGAUCUUUCUCCUCUGGAGUUAGCGGCGGACGGGUUAGUAACACUGGGAUAACCUACCUAUAAGACUGGGAUAACUGCGGGAAACCGGAACUAAUACCGGAUAAUAGAUUUAACCGCAUGGUUCAAUACUGAAAGACGGUUUUGCUGUCACUUAUAGAUGGAUCCGCGCCGCAUUAGCUAGUUGGUAAGGUAACGGCUUACCAAGGCAACGAUGCGUAGCCGACCUGAGAGGGUGAUCGGCCACACUGGAACUGAGACGCGGUCCAGACUCCUACGGGAGGCAGCAGUAGGGAAUCUUCCGCAAUGGGCGACAGCCUGACGGAGCAACGCCGCGUGAGUGAUGAAGGUCUUCGGAUCGUAAAACUCUGUUAUUAGGGAAGAACACAUGUGUAAGUAACUAUGCACGUCUUGACGGUACCUAAUCAGAAAGCCACGGGUGAGUACGUG
This 497-nucleotide ribosomal RNA is filed under the name uncultured bacterium. Its description in RNAcentral is "partial 16S ribosomal RNA". It matches the Rfam family "Bacterial small subunit ribosomal RNA", at positions 28 to 507 of the family's 1533-position model. The record is from RNAcentral.